GUGCCAGCAGCCGCGGUAAGACGAACCGUGCGAACGUUGUUCGGAAUCACUGGGCUUAAAGGGCGCGUAGGCGGGCUAUCAAGUCCGGGGUGAAAUCCUCCAGCUUAACUGGAGAACGGCCUCGGAUACUGAUGGUCUCGAGGAGGAUAGGGGCACACGGAACUGUGGGUGGAGCGGUGAAAUGCGUUGAUAUCCAUAGGAACUCCGGUGGCGAAAGCGGUGUGCUGGAUCCUUUCUGACGCUGAGGCGCGAAAGCCAGGGGAGCAAACGGGAUUAGAUACCCCAGUAGUCC
Molecule: ribosomal RNA, 292 nt
Filed under: uncultured bacterium
Lineage: Bacteria
Description: partial 16S ribosomal RNA
Rfam family: Bacterial small subunit ribosomal RNA
Source: RNAcentral